UCUCAUAAAGACUGCAAAGUUAUUUGCUGUUCUUCUAAACUGUAUCUCGCCUGUAAUAUUUUCUGACACUAGAAAUAAAAUAAUAACAUGUUUUGGUUCUUCUUUCUGCACUCCCUACUACACCAAAAGUGGUUUAGAUGAAAUAGGUAUGAAAGGCACAAUGAAUGCAGGGUUUUCCAUGCUACAGGGUUUUCCAACUGCCUCAAAGACAAAGGAGACAGAACAUACAGAUGUUUGUGUCUUGCUGCAAGAGUUGUGGACUAACUCCUUCAGUGUCUCUGGAAUGCAAAUUUUCUUUCACAGUUUAGCAGUCUUUUUUGGAUUUCAGCACAGUGAACUAACACUUUCCUGGAUUCCAAGACCUCCAGAGAACCAGAUGGAUGAGAGGAACUGGGAAAAAGAACCCACACUGUUUGAAAAAGAAACUGGACUGUACUUUAAAAUACACAGCUGCCUGCAACAAUAACAUUCACUUCCUGCUGCUUUGCUCCAAGGAGACUUGGGUAAGGGUGGAAUGAAGCACCCUUAGAGGUAAGGAGCAGGAUGUCAGCACAGCAGGAGUCUAGAACCUGCCCUCCUUGCCCAGGAGCGUCUACUUCCUUACCGCCUCACCAAGAGGGAAAUAAAUGAACAGAUCUACUUUGUUUUCUGCUUCUCCAGCUGAACCUGGUCUUCACAAAUACAUGUACUUCAUGGUUUGGGUCCAGUUAUUUAUUCCCCUGGCUUCCUUCAGUUUCCAAUGUGCAUUGGGAAGUUUGGAUGCAAAGAACCUCAGAAAUGUUUCCCUGAGUGAAGGACAACAUCAAGAAGAAAUGACAUACAGGAUCACACCUCUUUCCCGAUGAGGAGCCACACACAAGUCUCCCUGUGGAGAAGCAGCCCUGGUGCUGCCGGACACUCACCCAUUCUCUUUUGCUCAGGAUGUUCCCUAGAUUCCAGACAAAGAACUCUGAACUCUGAACUCGUCUUAUGUGCUGCCCUCCUCGUUGCUCUCUUAAUGGUAUUCUUCGCACUUACAGCUGACGGGCCAUUUCCAUACUCCAAUUGUAUGUGUCCUCUCCCCUGGAGAAUUUUUGGUGCAAGAACCCAUUUCUCCUCUUAAAUACUAUUUUGUUUUACUUCCAGGGGGAGCAGAUUUGCAAGAACAGAGGGCUGAUAUGAAAGGAAGGGGAAGUAAAUGGGAUGAAGAUACAUGGUGUGAAAGAAACAAAGAAUAAAUAGAAAGUUAAAAUAAAAAAAAAAAAGAAAAGAAUGCUUUGCUGGUAGAACUAUGCCCUUGCAGCCUGUUUCACUGUAUUCUUGGUUUUGCCAGUGUUUAUCUCCACUGUUCUUUGAACUUCUGGGGAUGGGGCCAUGACUUAAAUUAUCUUUUCAUUUCCAUAGCUAGCAAAGUGUCUGUCAUAGGCAGCAGGUAUGCAAUAAGUGACCUUUGACUCAUGAGGGAGUAAAUAAAAUGCAAAGAGUUGAUUUUGUUGAGGUUAA
This is a non-coding RNA of Cricetulus griseus (Chinese hamster), 1482 nucleotides long. The record is from RefSeq and is a predicted model, not a curated record. NCBI's taxonomy places the organism in Eukaryota, Metazoa, Chordata, Mammalia, Rodentia, Cricetidae.